AAUAAUUUAGAGCAAAGAAAAGUUUUAGCAUAUUUUGGCUAUUCCAACCCAAUUGUAGCUCAUAUUUUAACAGACAAAGACCUGCAGACUGAUGGAAAACUUCUUCAUGCUGAAGUUAUCAAACAUGACAUCAAUGUCGUAAAAGACUUAGUUAAUCCAGACACAUUUUAAAAACUUCAGAAAAAUGUGCUACAUCUUAAACAAAGUUGGAGUUGUUUGAGUUGUAACAAACCACAAUUUGAAGACAUGAUUGAGUGUGAAGAUUGUUUGACUUGGUACCACUGGAAAUGUAUUUCUCCGGGUAAAGUUAUUACAGAUAAGUGCUGGAUUUGUAGUGAAUGUGACACCAAAAAGUUUUGUAAGCAAGUUACAGACUCUUAACUAUGAAAACAGAGAUCGCAGUUAACAAACUUCUUUUUACAUAAUAUAUACCGUGGUAUCAGCACGACUAUAUACAUAAUUGUUUAAAACUUCUAGAACAUCUUAUCAAAUGAUAAAUUAAGGGCAUUAAUUGAGUCUAAUUUGAACAAUUUGUUAUGUGUCUUUCUUAGAUAUUUAACACUCAGCAUGCGCUUUUUAUUUUACUGAAAUGGCAUGAAUACUUACACAAAGGAGAUAUUAUUGGUUUUAUACAAGGCCGGCACGAUGGAAAAGGAGGGUUCAUUAAGUCGGCAAAUUAACUUCCAAUGGCGACAUUGUGUUUCCUAACAAUUCUAAAUUUUUCUGCAACUAAUUUUAUUAUAUCAAAAGUUGCAUAUUUUGCUAUUCUUGCAUUUACAUUUCUUUUAUGUUGAUUACUGUUGUGUUUGUGCUUUAUUCGACGUCUUUGAUAAUUAGUUCAGUUUUAAACAUUAUCCUCAUUUAAUAGUUUUAACAAUAUAUAUGCCACUGCCAUACUAGAUUCGAAAAAUUUCAAAAAUUUUUUAAACCGCAGUCAUUAAAACGUUUUAAAAUAUUCACAAAAUACGACGUCGUUUGGUUGCAAAAAUUCAUUUUGCCGCAAAAUAUUCUAUUGGAGUAUAAAUC
Hydra vulgaris (swiftwater hydra) is the source of this 1026-nucleotide non-coding RNA. Lineage: Eukaryota; Metazoa; Cnidaria; Hydrozoa; Anthoathecata; Hydridae. The record is from RefSeq and is a predicted model, not a curated record.